This 468-nucleotide ribosomal RNA is filed under the name uncultured bacterium. Its description in RNAcentral is "partial 16S ribosomal RNA". It matches the Rfam family "Bacterial small subunit ribosomal RNA", at positions 28 to 507 of the family's 1533-position model. The record is from RNAcentral.
GACGAACGCUGGCGGCGUGCUUAACACAUGCAAGUCGAACGGAAAGGCCCUGCUUUUGUGGGGUGCUCGAGUUGCGAACGGGUGAGUAACACGUGAGUAACCUGCCCUUGACUUUGGGAUAACUUCAGGAAACUGGGGCUAAUACCGGAUAGGAGCUCCUGCUGCAUGGUGGGGGUUGGAAAGUUUCGGUGGUUGGGGAUGGACUCGCGGCUUAUCAGCUUGUUGGUGGGGUAGUGGCUUACCAAGGCAUUGAGGGGUAGCCGGCCUGAGAGGGUGACCGGCCACACUGGGACUGGGAUGAGGCCCAGACUCGUACGGGAGGCAAGGGUGGGGAAUAGUGCACAAGGGGAGGAGGCAUGACGUAGCAACGCCGCGUGCGGGAUGACGGCAUGCGGGUUGGAAAGCGAAGUCGCCUGUGACGAGGCGUGAGUGACGGUAAUGGGUAAAGAAGCACCGGCUAACUACGUG